AUGGGUGUAGCGCAGUCUGAUUAGCGCACCUGGUUUGGGACCAGGGGGUCGUGGGUUUGAAUCCCUCCACCCGUACCA
RNAcentral lists this transfer RNA (78 nucleotides) under hydrothermal vent metagenome. Its description in RNAcentral is "tRNA-Pro-TGG". It matches the Rfam family "tRNA". Rfam says of the family: Transfer RNA (tRNA) molecules are approximately 80 nucleotides in length. Their secondary structure includes four short double-helical elements and three loops (D, anti-codon, and T loops). The record is from RNAcentral.